UGUAUGUGUGUGUGUGUGUGUGUGUGUGUGUGUGUGUAUAUAUACACAAUAUAUAUAUAUAUAUAUACACACAAUAUAUAUAUACACACACACACACACACACACACACAUAUA
This 114-nucleotide microRNA precursor is filed under the name Podarcis lilfordi (Lilford's wall lizard). Lineage: Eukaryota; Metazoa; Chordata; Lepidosauria; Squamata; Lacertidae. The record is from RNAcentral.